CCCUACUUUACAGAUUAGGAAAGAGACAUUAUUUGAUUUGGAGUUAGCAGGGUGUCUUUUCACUAGAGGUCGCCAUUUCCACAGACACUACAUUAACUAAACUAACCCUUUUUAGACAAAGCAAGCCAUGUGUUUCUUAUGACUCCCAUCAGUGUAGGCUGAACGUAUUCACUCACAAGCUGCCCAUGUGACAUUUUGUGAUUUGUGAUAUUGGACUAUACAUAUAUGCUAAAAUUAAAAUUAAAAUGACUUAUUAUUCCCCUCUACUUGGGUCAAUGGAAAUGCUUGGUAAACAGGAACACUUGGUUCCAUCUGUUAAUUUUCCUCCUAACAAACUAUGCAGCCAAAAACUAAAUUCUGGUUCCUUGUAGAAAAGCACAGGCUCUCAUCCUAACAGAAUACAUCUCCAAGGAAUAAGAGUGGCUUUGUUCUCCACCUUUUAAUAGUUGACUGGGCUGCCAUGGGGGAGGGGCUGCUACUCCAUUGUAGAGUCCCUUUGUGGAGGAAUGCUGCUCUACAGAUCAGAUCGUUUGGUUUACUGAAUGUGAUGAGACACCUUUCUGUUGUGGCUGCAAACUUGUCGAACAGGUAGUGCCGCACCAAAGGCUAAACAUGAGCAUAAUCAAAUACUCAGCAUGACUAUCUGAUUUAGAUUCUUCCAUCUUCCAUUUUCAGCUCACCUGCUGUGACCUGGCAACAACAUCCCAUCCUGCCCAACUAGACGUUUAAGCAGAUGACCUGGCACACUACAAGAGAAACCUAAAACUGCAUAUAUGUAUUCGAGUUUGUGUUCUGUAGUAUGAAUAUGUUCAGUCAUGUCCAUGGUGGCUAUGAGUACUGGUUUUUUCCUGCAUCACAUGACCGGUAGUCAUGAGUUUGCUAUGACCUGCACUUUCUCAUCAUAUGCACAGAUUUAAUCAAGAACACACAUUUUCUAAUGUUCAACAAAAUGAAUAAAUAUCAUUUUAGAAAGCAGCGUGCUACACAAAAACAUCCGGUCUUUUAAGAUUAAGAUUGUAUGAUAUAAAGGUUUGUUUUGAUGACAAUCACAAGCUCACCUCUCAAUCAAAAAAAUGUGCUAAUGUCUAUGUAUUAAAGAAUAUUAAAUAAAAUAAUAUAAAAUAUCUGCCAUUUACAAGGGGCCACUAGUCAUGUGUUAAAAGAAAUGUCCUUAUAUUACGUUAUAUUGUUUUUUUUCCUCCAGUAUUUUUUCAAUUCAUUGAUGGCAAGACUGAAAUUACAUAGAUUCAGUAUGGUUUCAUCUCUUCUUUGAGACUCUUAACAUCACACCAGACACGGAUGUUUAAUCCCUGGCCAACUGAACUGUGGCACAAAGUGUAAAGAAAUUAAUUUAAUUUAAUACCUAGCACAUGUUAUGGUUGUAUAUGUGUAUUUUGUACAUCCUCAAUAAAUGUCAGAGACAUAGUAGUAUAGUCAUCACACCUACAAACAAAGGCUAGGGAAAUCUGAAUUCAAAGCCUGCAUGCUUUUUGGACAUCUGUUGGUUUAUAUGUGUAGACAUGUGAGAUUUUUCCC
RNAcentral lists this long non-coding RNA (1536 nucleotides) under Cottoperca gobio. RNAcentral describes it as "lncRNA (ENSCGOG00000006634.1)". The record is from RNAcentral. Lineage: Eukaryota; Metazoa; Chordata; Actinopteri; Perciformes; Bovichtidae.